AAUGAACGCUGGCGGCGCGCCUAACACAUGCAAGUCGAACGCGAAAAUACCUUCGGGUGUGAGUAGAGUGGCGGACGGGUGAGUAACGCGUGAGAAUCUGCCCUUUAGUAAGGAAUACCUUCGGGAAACUGAAGUUAAUACCGUAUGUGCUCUGCGGAGUAAAGACGGCCUCUUGCUGUCGCUAAAGGAUGAGCUCGCGUAUUAUUAGUUAGUUGGUGGGGUAAAGGCCUACCAAGACUUAGAUAAUUAGCCGGCCUGAGAGGGUGAUCGGCCACAUUGGGACUGAGACACGGCCCAGACUCCUACGGGAGGCAGCAGUGGGGAAUAUUGCACAAUGGAGGAAACUCUGAUGCAGCGACGCCGCGUGGAGGAUGAAGGGUUUUCGGCUCGUAAACUCCUGUCAAGUGGGAAUAAAGGCUAAGUGUUAAUAGCACUUGGAGAUGAAGGUACCACUAGAGGAAGCUCCGGCUAACUUCGUG
RNAcentral lists this ribosomal RNA (479 nucleotides) under uncultured bacterium. Its description in RNAcentral is "bacterial SSU rRNA". It matches the Rfam family "Bacterial small subunit ribosomal RNA", at positions 29 to 507 of the family's 1533-position model. The record is from RNAcentral.